AGAGUUUGAUCCUGGCUCAGAUUGAACGCUGGCGGCAUGCUUUACACAUGCAAGUCGAACGGUAACAGGGUGCUUGCACCGCUGACGAGUGGCGAACGGGUGAGUAAUGCAUCGGAAUGUACCGUGUAAUGGGGGAUAGCUCGGCGAAAGCCGGAUUAAUACCGCAUACGCCCUGAGGGGGAAAGUGGGGGACCGUAAGGCCUCACGUUAUACGAGCAGCCGAUGUCUGAUUAGCUAGUUGGUGGGGUAAAGGCUCACCAAGGCUUCGAUCAGUAGCGGGUCUGAGAGGAUGAUCCGCCACACUGGGACUGAGACACGGCCCAGACUCCUACGGGAGGCAGCAGUGGGGAAUUUUGGACAAUGGGCGCAAGCCUGAUCCAGCCAUGCCGCGUGUCUGAAGAAGGCCUUCGGGUUGUAAAGGACUUUUGUCCGGGAGCAAAUCCCAGUGGUUAAUACCUACUGGGGCUGAGAGUACCGGAAGAAUAAGCACCGGCUAACUAC
RNAcentral lists this ribosomal RNA (501 nucleotides) under uncultured Chromobacterium sp. Its description in RNAcentral is "bacterial SSU rRNA". It matches the Rfam family "Bacterial small subunit ribosomal RNA", at positions 8 to 504 of the family's 1533-position model. Lineage: Bacteria; Pseudomonadati; Pseudomonadota; Betaproteobacteria; Neisseriales; Chromobacteriaceae. The record is from RNAcentral.